UUAUAUAAAGUAAUUAUUUACAUUUAAUUUCGACUUAAAAAUAGGGUAUAACCAUUUAUAAA
Molecule: transfer RNA, 62 nt
Filed under: Lasioglossum morio
Lineage: Eukaryota; Metazoa; Arthropoda; Insecta; Hymenoptera; Halictidae
Description: tRNA-Arg
Source: RNAcentral